UGGGGUAUCGCCAAGCGGUAAGGCACCGGUUUUUGGUAUCGGCAUGCGGAGGUUCGAAUCCUCCUACCCCAGCCA
This 75-nucleotide transfer RNA is filed under the name Halomonas cupida. Its description in RNAcentral is "tRNA-Gln". It matches the Rfam family "tRNA". From Rfam's summary of the family: Transfer RNA (tRNA) molecules are approximately 80 nucleotides in length. Their secondary structure includes four short double-helical elements and three loops (D, anti-codon, and T loops). Further hydrogen bonds mediate the characteristic L-shaped molecular structure. tRNAs have two regions of fundamental functional importance: the anti-codon, which is responsible for specific mRNA codon recognition, and the 3' end, to which the tRNAs corresponding amino acid is attached (by aminoacyl-tRNA synthetases). tRNAs cope with the degeneracy of the genetic code in two manners: having more than one tRNA (with a specific anti-codon) for a particular amino acid; and 'wobble' base-pairing, i.e. permitting non-standard base-pairing at the 3rd anti-codon position. RNAcentral also lists the same sequence under 10 other names. The record is from RNAcentral. Lineage: Bacteria; Pseudomonadati; Pseudomonadota; Gammaproteobacteria; Oceanospirillales; Halomonadaceae.